RNAcentral lists this long non-coding RNA (255 nucleotides) under Sparus aurata (gilthead seabream). RNAcentral's name for it is "lncRNA (ENSSAUG00010000049.1)". The record is from RNAcentral. Lineage: Eukaryota; Metazoa; Chordata; Actinopteri; Spariformes; Sparidae.
CUCCAGAGAGCAGCCGAGAAAAAGAGCGGCAGAGGAUGUGAGCGUGUGAACGGCGGCGUGCCGAGCGCCACGCGCAGAUAACAAACAGUUUAUCAGCGAGCCAGAGAAACUCUGCUGGAGAGCCAUCCUGCCACAAUCAGACGGAGGUGGAGGUGAAGAGAGGGGGAAGAGAAAUGUAAAGAGCAAAGACCAGAAGAGGCGGGAAGACGGAGGCCAGGGAUACGACUAUAAAUGCUUCUCUUAUUAUGGCUGACG